This is a small nucleolar RNA of Astatotilapia calliptera (eastern happy), 213 nucleotides long. Its record names the gene U3. It matches the Rfam family "Small nucleolar RNA U3". Rfam says of the family: Small nucleolar RNAs (snoRNAs) are involved in the processing and modification of rRNA in the nucleolus. There are two main classes of snoRNAs: the box C/D class, and the box H/ACA class. NCBI's taxonomy places the organism in Eukaryota, Metazoa, Chordata, Actinopteri, Cichliformes, Cichlidae. The record is from Ensembl.
AAGACUGUACUUUUAGAGAUCAUUUCUAUAGUUUUUGACUUGAGAAAUGUGUUUCUAGAGUGUAUGGUCUCGCUAACCACGAUGAUUAGUUGAGAUGUUCCCUUUUGAGCAUGAAAAUGACAGACAACUGUGACUUUGUCAUGUGUUUUGUUAUUGAUGACUGUUCAUUGUUUAUUUUUGGAGCUUUGACAAAGGGAAUAUGAUCUGAGUGGU